UAAACGGUCCUUUUCAGGACCACCGAAAAUCAUUCCAAAAGAGAAUU
Aedes albopictus (Asian tiger mosquito) is the source of this 47-nucleotide non-coding RNA. NCBI's taxonomy places the organism in Eukaryota, Metazoa, Arthropoda, Insecta, Diptera, Culicidae. The record is from Rfam.